Molecule: ribosomal RNA, 326 nt
Filed under: Climacostomum virens
Lineage: Eukaryota; Ciliophora; Heterotrichea; Heterotrichida; Climacostomidae
Description: partial Bacterial large subunit ribosomal RNA
Rfam family: Bacterial large subunit ribosomal RNA
Source: RNAcentral
GGUGAGCCGGCCCCUAAGGCGAGGGCGAAAGCCGUAGUCGAUGGGAACCAGGUCAACAUUCCUGGGCCUGCUGGAAGUGACGGACGCCGAAAGCUGUCUGCCCUUAUCGGAUUGGGUGGGCAGCCUGGGAGUUCCAGGAAAUAGCUCCAGCUUAUAGACCGUACCCGAAACCGACACAGGUGGACUGGUAGAGUAUACCAAGGCGAUUGAGAGAACUAUCUUGAAGGAACUAGGCAAAUUGCUCUCGUAACUUCGGAAGAAGAGAGCCCCCGCUAUGGGCAACCACUGCGGGGGGGCACAGGCCAGGGGGUAGCGACUGUUUACUA